This 253-nucleotide ribosomal RNA is filed under the name uncultured bacterium. Its description in RNAcentral is "partial 16S ribosomal RNA". It matches the Rfam family "Bacterial small subunit ribosomal RNA", at positions 524 to 776 of the family's 1533-position model. The record is from RNAcentral.
UACGUAGGGUGCAAGCGUUGUCCGGAAUUAUUGGGCGUAAAGAGCUCGUAGGCGGUUUGUCGCGUCUGCUGUGAAAACUCGGGGCUUAACCCCGGGCCUGCAGUGGGUACGGGCAGACUAGAGUGCGGUAGGGGAGACUGGAAUUCCUGGUGUAGCGGUGAAAUGCGCAGAUAUCAGGAGGAACACCGGUGGCGAAGGCGGGUCUCUGGGCCGUAACUGACGCUGAGGAGCGAAAGCGUGGGUAGCGAACAGG